Molecule: long non-coding RNA, 573 nt
Organism: Mesocricetus auratus (golden hamster)
Lineage: Eukaryota; Metazoa; Chordata; Mammalia; Rodentia; Cricetidae
Exons: 3
Source: RefSeq, a predicted model, not a curated record
GCCUCUCCAGUUGUAGUGAGUGUGUGUGUGUGUGUUUGGGGGUGGGGUGGGGAGACGAGAACACUUCAGACAGGAGCACCAGGCACCUGAUGUUGUUCAACCACAGAAACCAUUUUAUCAAGGAAAUGGUUACUAGAUAUCCCUCACAGAUGCAUCCUUCGGUCCCAGGGGUCUUCAGCAGCUGCAACACUUUCAGGUCCUCACAGAUUGUGAAACAUGCUGGACAGAUGAGAUUAAUCCCUUAGAGAUACAGCUGGAUCCACUUCUGAUGAUGAGCUUGGAAAUGAUGCAGUCCAGAUAUAGCGGGAACCUUAAAAUCUCAAAGGAGAGAGGCCAACUACUGACCACAUGAAUCAUAAUGUAAAUAUUUUUUGGAGACAGAAGUUUGUCAAAAGGCUCAUGACCCACAGAUUGAGAACCUCUGAUCUACAUAAACAUCUCUAGACACUUUCCAAGAAAAUUCGAAGACACUGUAGAAAUACAAAAUGGUUGAGCAAGCUGGACCAUGUAAACAAGGUUCAACAGAGUUGGGAUAUGGACUUUCAUGACUGAAGAUGAAUAAUAAAGAGAACA